This 808-nucleotide small RNA is filed under the name Oryza sativa Japonica Group (Japanese rice). Its description in RNAcentral is "sRNA Os08g0526900". Lineage: Eukaryota; Viridiplantae; Streptophyta; Magnoliopsida; Poales; Poaceae. The record is from RNAcentral.
AAGUAGCCGAAAGGAUCUUCCAUUCACUUGGAGAGUAGGCCAAAGUAGGGGUUUUCCAUUGCAGAUGCUACCUCAACUCCAGCAGCAUUGAGAAGUGCCAAGUUGAUAUUAUCCCUCGGCAUUACCAGGUAGCCGCUGAUCGCGAGCUUCAUGAAUCCGCACAGCUCCAGGAAUUCUACGCCUCCUUGCAAAUUGCCCACUCUUUCCUGUUUAAGAGGAGAAUGGUGGAUUCAGGAUAAGAGAAAUGAAUGAAAAAGUUUUUAUGAAAUAAUUAAGGAAUUCUAUGCCUCCUUGCACAUCGCUUUUCAUAGUUACCUUGAAAACAGGAUUGUUUAGUCGAAUCCUCCUGAACUUCUCCUCUUCUGGGUUCUUCACUAUGUUGGCAAUUAUCUUCAGCAGUAUUUGGAAUGCUCUUGUGACUUUAGUAGUGUCAUCCUACAAAUAAAGUUGAUAUGUAUCUCAAUGCUUCGGUGUCAAAAUGAUCGCAGGCAUAAUUCGUAUCUGCAAUCAGAAUACUGUUUUACCUUGUAAUUCUUUUUCAGAUUUCGUAGGCAGUCUCUCAGUUGUUCUGGUGACACAGCAGGUUCAACAGGUUUUAUCUGAGGAGCUAAAAAGGUGAGAAAUGUUGUUUCAAGGUCGCAUGAAAAAUAGAGGUGCUCUGGAAAUUUUAGACCUUCGUUGGAGUUAAGGUUGGGACUGAAGCUACUGGGUUUUCCAUUGGCAAACCAAGCCUUCGCCUUCUUUCUGCCUGCAUAGGAGAUAAGGAUUUAAGGCUCUUUGGUACUUCAACAAGUAACAUAGCAUGUCA